Molecule: ribosomal RNA, 460 nt
Filed under: uncultured bacterium
Lineage: Bacteria
Description: partial 16S ribosomal RNA
Rfam family: Bacterial small subunit ribosomal RNA
Source: RNAcentral
CCUACGGGGUGCAGCAGUGAGGAAUCUUGGUCAAUGGGCGGGAGCCUGAACCAGCCAAGUCGCGUGAGGGCAGACGGUCCUAUGGAUUGUAAACCUCUUUAGGCGGGGAGCAAUGCCGGGCACGUGUGCCCGGAGGGAGAGUACCCGCAGAAUAAGCAUCGGCUAACUCCGUGCCAGCAGCCGCGGUAAUACGGAGGAGGCGAGCGUUAUCCGGAUUUAUUGGGUUUAAAGGGUGCGUAGGCGGAUUUUUAAGUCAGCGGUAAAAUGUCCGGGCUCAACCCGGGCCGGCCGUUGAAACUGGGGAGCUUGAGUGGGCGAGAAGUAUGCGGAAUGCGUGGUGUAGCGGUGAAAUGCAUAGAUAUCACGCAGAACUCCGAUUGCGAAGGCAGCAUACCGGCGCCCGACUGACGCUGAGGCACGAAAGCGUGGGGAUCGAACAGGAUGAGAUACCCUGGUAGUC